RNAcentral lists this ribosomal RNA (1358 nucleotides) under Pericapritermes dolichocephalus. RNAcentral's name for it is "16S ribosomal RNA". The stretch from base 870 to 1240 matches the Rfam family "Bacterial large subunit ribosomal RNA", at positions 2073 to 2647 of the family's 2925-position model. Lineage: Eukaryota; Metazoa; Arthropoda; Insecta; Blattodea; Termitidae. The record is from RNAcentral.
GUCUUGUUUUGAUUUGUUAGUAUUAUUAAUAUAAUUUUUUAUUGAAGAAUCAUUUUAGUUAUUGUAAAUUUUUGAUUUAAUUUUUUUAACGAUAGUUUAUUUGUACUGUGAGGGGUUUAUUUUUUAUUGUUUUUUUGGAAGUAGAUUUUGUUUUUCGUACCUUGUGUAUCAGGGUUCAUUGAAUUUUAUUAUUUAUUUUUAUUUCCCGAUUUAUAAGGAGUUAAUAAUUUGUUUUAUUUACUGUUUCAUUAGUAUUAAUAACAUAUUGUUGGUAGUGAAAUGUUAUUCGUCUUUUAUGGUUUCUGGUUUCUUGAGAAAUGAAUUUAAUUCAUGUGUUUUAUUUAAUUUCUGUAUUUGUUUACAUUUAGUGUUUUAUUUUAUACUAAGAUUAAGGGGGAUUAGCUCCUUGUUUUAUUAUUAUAAUUUAUUUAAUUAAUUUAGUUUUGUGGAUUUUAUAUUGAUUUUCAAUUUGAUUAUGUUAAAAUUUUAUUUGUUCUUUUUUUUAUUUUGUUUUAUUUAAUUUAUUUAUUGGGAUGUUUACUUUUGUUUUUAUUGUAUAAUAAUUAUUGUGUAAUUAGUAAAUUUUUCUUUUUGUGUUGUUUAUUUAUUUUAGUGUUAAUUUCUUUUGAGGAAUUCGGCAAAGUUUUAUGCCCGCCUGUUUAACAAAAACAUCUCUUCUUGUUAGUUUUUGAAGUAUGGCCUGCCCACUGACUUAUUUGUUGAAGGGCCGCGGUAUUUUGACCGUGCAAAGGUAGCAUAAUCAUUAGUUCUUUAAUUGUGAUCUGGUAUGAAUGGCUUGACGAGGUAUAAUCUGUCUUAAUUGUAUUUUUGAUUGAAUUUAGUUUUUGAGUUAAAAUUCUUAGAUGUUUUUAUGGGACGAGAAGACCCUAUAGAGUUUUACAUUUAUUUCUUCAUUACUUUUAUUUGUUUGUUUUUAUUGUAAAGUGGGUUGAAUGUUUUGUUGGGGUGAUGGGAGGAAUUUUUUUAACUCCUCUUUGUUUUUAUACACUUAUUUGUGUUUUUUUGAUCCAUUUGUUUUGAUUAUAAGAUUAAAUUACCUUAGGGAUAACAGCGUUAUCUUCCCUGAGAGUUCUUAUUGGCGGGAAGGUUUGCGACCUCGAUGUUGGAUUAAGAUUAAUUUUCGGUGCAGAAGCUGGAAUUGAUUAGGUCUGUUCGACCUUUAAAAUCUUACAUGAUCUGAGUUCAGACCGGCGUGAGCCAGGUUGGUUUCUAUCUAUAAAUUUUUGUUAUAUCUUAGUACGAGAGGACCGGAUAUUUGGAAUAAUUUUAUUUUUGUUGGAUAUUGUUAAUUUGUUACUAUUUUGGCAGAUAAGUGCAUUGGAUUUAGAAUCUAUGAA